Molecule: ribosomal RNA, 765 nt
Filed under: uncultured crenarchaeote
Lineage: Archaea; Thermoproteati; Thermoproteota
Description: bacterial SSU rRNA
Rfam family: Archaeal small subunit ribosomal RNA
Source: RNAcentral
AAGGGGUGGGCAAGUCUGGUGUCAGCCGCCGCGGUAAUACCAGCACCCCGAGUGGUCGGGACGAUUAUUGGGCCUAAAGCAUCCGUAGCCGGUACUGCAAGUCUUCCGUUAAAUCCACCUGCUUAACAGUUGGGCUGCGGGGGAUACUACAGCGCUAGGAGGCGGGAGAGGCAAGCGGUACUCAAUGGGUAGGGGUAAAAUCCGCUGAUCCAUUGAAGACCACCAGUGGCGAAGGCGGCUUGCCAGAACGCGCUCGACGGUGAGGGAUGAAAGCUGGGGGAGCAAACCGGAUUAGAUACCCGGGUAGUCCCAGCUGUAAACGAUGCAGACUCGGUGAUGGGCUGGCCUUGUGCCAACCCAGUGCCGCAGGGAAGCCGUUAAGUCUGCCGCCUGGGGAGUACGGUCGCAAGACUGAAACUUUAAAGGAAUUGGCGGGGGAGCACCACAAGGGGUGAAGCCUGCGGUUCAAUUGGAGUCAACGCCGGGAAUCUUACCGGGGGCGACAGCAGAGUGAAGGUCAAGCUGAAGACUUUACCAGACAAGCUGAGAGGAGGUGCAUGGCCGUCGCCAGCUCGUGCCGUGAGGUGUCCUGUUAAGUCAGGUAACGAGCGAGAUCCCUACCUCUAGUUGCUACCAUUACUCUCAGGAGUAGUGGGGCUAAUUAGAGGGACCGCCGCCGCUGAGGCGGAGGAAGGAGGGGGCUACGGCAGGUCAGUAUGCCCCGAAACCCUCGGGCCACACGCGGGCUGCAAUGGUAAGGACAAU